Molecule: long non-coding RNA, 3053 nt
Filed under: Sarcophilus harrisii (Tasmanian devil)
Lineage: Eukaryota; Metazoa; Chordata; Mammalia; Dasyuromorphia; Dasyuridae
Description: lncRNA (ENSSHAG00000028856.1)
Source: RNAcentral
CCUCAGGCCCAAGGUCCUCAGUCUCCCUCCUCGUCCGGCCCACCGGGGAGGGGAGUCUGCCUCCGCUGCCCCCGGAGGGGCCGAGGAUCUGGGUCCCUUCCCCCUCCCCCGGGCUCCGUGGGGCCCCUUCCUCCCUCUGGGGGCUCGGACACCCGGGAGCCGAGGCUUCGCACGUGAGGCUUGGCGGAGGGGUAUUUAUUGCUAAAGGAAGCAUUUAACGAAGGGGGCGGGCCGGGGUCCUGGGCCCCGAUCUUCCAGUCCCGCCCUCCGGAUCUUGGCUCAUUUUUUAAAAAGAUAUUUGUCUGACUUCCCGAUGCCCGAGGUGUGUGUGGAUUCCUUCUGAGGUCUGGCCAGCGGGGAGCAGGAGAAGGUCCCAGGUGCCCAGGCCCGGCCAGGCUCCUGGGUGCUACCAUGCGGCCGACUGCAGGCAGAGAGGCAACCACCUGGAAAGAGGCGGGCGCUGGGCGUACCCGCCCCGGGUGCUGGUGGCAACCUCCGGCCUCAGCCGCCUUCCCCGGCCCCGGAGGCGCGGCUCGGGCAGGGGAGGCAGCACACCAGGCGGAGGCCCCUUGACCCCAGACCCGGCAGCCUCGCGCCCCGCGAACUUUCAAUGACAGUUUGGGCCUUUCUUCAGGGAAACAGCUUUUUUCUGGGAGAAGUGGAUGAGCCCCCCAAUGACCCAGAGUGAAUGAGGAGGUCCUGGAGCCUCCGGCCGCCCCCUCUCCCCGCGGGACUAUUUAUUGCUCAGGACUGUGACAGUUCUCUCGAGGGCUACUGUGAACCCUCCGCUCCAGGGACCUCCCCCACCCUCAGGGCUAUCCGGAGCCAGCCCUCAGCAGCCCCCACCCCAGGGGCCCCGGAUCGGGGAGGGGAGGAGCCAGCCGGGGCUCUAAGCAGGCCGGGGGGGACUCGAAGGCCCUUCGGCCCGGGCCCGGCCCGGCCCCGCAUCGAGGAUUGACUGAACUGGGACACCGGCGCUAGACUUGGCCCCACUUGGUGGGCCCCAAAGACCCCCGACCCAGGGGGCCGUUUUCUCCCUCUUCGUUCGGAAAGGUUGGGCUGAGGAGGGGGACCGGGUCAGCUUUUUUUCCUUUUCACUUCCCAAUCCCACCCUGGGGACGACCCAGGGAAAACUUACCGUUUACAUCGAUCCUGAGGGGGAGGACUGAAUGGUGCUGAUGGAGAGAAGGAAAAAAGGGGGGCCGGGGGAGGAGGCGCUUCUCAGCCAGCGGCUCAGGUCGUGGCAGGCAGGGCGGAUGUGACUGUUGGCUUUAAUAUUCAGAAAUGAAAAAAAUUUACAAAAAAAAAAAAAAGGUGUACAGUAUUUUUCCUGUAAAGGUUAUUAUUCUAUGUAGAACAAAAGAUAAAAGGAAAAAAAAAAGGCUGGGGUGCUGGAGGGGACUGGCCCGCCUUCCGGCCUGGCCCCCGAGGGGGGGACCGUGUGCAAUCUCUCUGGAGGGUUUCCUUUAGCAUUUCUUUUAGAGGCCUUAACACUUUGAGGCUGCCUGUCUUCACGCUAGCACUGACAAGGACUCUUGACUUGAAUUUUGUAGCGGGAGGGGAAGAGGAAUAGCGUUAAUGAGGUUUGUAGUUAAUUUAACGUGGGGGGGCUCCCUCAUUACUCGUGUGUGGCUUCUGGAGGCUCCCCCCGUUUUCUAGUUUUGGCCCCGCUUUGCCGCCGGAGCCCUCGAGUGGUCCCCAGUCCACGCUCCUCCCCUAACCCCGAGGGGGAAGAGGCCGGGACCCCCGAGCAAUAGAGGAGGGGGCUCGGGCCCAGCCCGGCCUCCCUGCGCGGCUCAGCCGCCGUCUCAUUUAUGGUUGGGUGGGAGCUAGUUGGCCCCGCUCCCAAGGCCACUCCCUCCCCCAGACCCACAUUUAUUCACCCCUUAACAAUGGUUUGGUGAUGGUGGAUUUUUAACUGAAAAUUGGGGGGAAAAAAAAAAAAAAAAAAAAAGCCAGAUAGAAGGCAUCCAAGCAGCUGGUUCCUAGGCCCGGAGAGAAAGGCAAAGGGCGGGAGGAGAGCUCAGAGGGAGUAUUAGCGAUCAAACCGCAAAACCCAUUAGACCCCCCUCCCCCACCCGGGCCCCCCACCCAAAGGCUCCUCCCGGGCUCUGAGACCGCCUCCGGCCGCCGAAGACCAGCGAGCUCCACCGCCCGUCGCCGCCGCCGCGUUCUAAGCCACGAAAACUGGAUUCGGUCGUGGAAGGAGUUGUGUAAAGAGAAAAAUCAGAAAACGUUUUUCAAUGUAGCAACACACAAAAAAAAAUUUAAAAAGGAAAAAAGCCGAGGACAGAGUGGGAAGUCUAGCCUUUUGUAAUAUAUUGCACAUUAGGACUACAAGCCAUUGCUAGCUCAUUUCGAAUUUUAAUGUGUAAUUUUCGUUUUAUUUUCUUUCUGUGGGGAAAAAUGCUUGAUCCACCAAUGAUCUUUUUAAUGUUUUAUAAGUAUGUAUGUGUAUAUAUAUAAAUAUCAAAUAAUAUGUAUGCACAUAUGUAUGUGUGUGUAUAUAUCUAUAUGUAUAUACAUAUAUAUAGAUAUAUAGAUCUAUAUAGAGGUUUUGAGACAAAAAAAAAUGCAGAAAGUGAAAACUGAACAGAACAGUGUGUGCUCCGAUUACUUGAAUCUGGUCUCCACGGCACCUGCGUUAUUAAGAACUGAAUAUUUUUCCACUUGAAUUUAGUGCUAUUAGAAAUUUAAUAUAUGUGUUUUAUUUAUUUGAUUUUUUUUUUUGCAUGACUGAUGCAAGGUUUGACAUUUUCACUCAAUAAAAACUGGAAAAAAAACGUUCUCAGGUUGUUCCUUAUUUUUCAAGGCCUCCCCACUCCCUUAACCCCAUCCCAAAGAGAGUGACCGGGUGACCUUUGCUGUUGGAGUGUCCGGUCAGGGGUCCCCUCCCCGGGGGAGUGGGAGGGAGGCGGAAGGGGUCAGGGGAGAGAGGAGGAAAGACUGCCAGGGGAUCUGCCAGUUUUAUCUAAGAAGGGACGGCAGCUCUAGAUCCAGAGGUGGUAAGUGUCAGAGGCAGGAUUUGAACCCAGUAUCCUUUCUAGUGUAAC